GGAAAGGUGGCCGAGUGGUUUAAGGCAGCGGUCUUGAAAACCGCCGACGGUGAAAGCUGUCCGUGAGUUCGAAUCUCACCCUUUCCGCCA
This 90-nucleotide transfer RNA is filed under the name Acidobacteriota bacterium. RNAcentral's name for it is "tRNA-Ser". It matches the Rfam family "tRNA". From Rfam's summary of the family: Transfer RNA (tRNA) molecules are approximately 80 nucleotides in length. The record is from RNAcentral. Lineage: Bacteria; Pseudomonadati; Acidobacteriota.